AGCACGUAUAGUAGAGAUUUCUAUUAGAUUUCUGUUAUCAACAAAAUUUUUCACCGUUUAUUUUUGUCAAGAAAAAAUAAAAUAAAAAAAUUUGCUAAAUUAAAAAAAAAAAGUGAAGAAUGGAUAUCCCAAAGGCAGGAGCUCCGCGCCCAAACUCAAACACAGCGCAUCCCUGGGAUCCGAUCUCGCGUUAUUGUCAUCGAGAUGUGCACAGCUGGUCACACUAAGACCGACUGGCCCUGAGAGAGUAAAGCCCAUUGCACUACCUGGGCACACUAGUCGGCGGCUAUAUAUCAAACUUCACUUCACAGAUACAGUCAUUGACGUUCCGGCUAGAGGUGGAGAAACAUCGAUUUUGGUAGUUGCUCUCGUUAUUGAGGGUCUUAAACGGUCUUAACCAUGUGCUCUCGUAAAGAUCGUUGUCUCAUGAAGUGCAUUCCUGGCAAACUGGCUUGCUUGACGAUACGUUAACCUCACGUGACCAUAUUCUAUGCUGCGUCGACACACUUACAAGUCAAAGCUUCUUCUCCGGAUGUUAUUAGACUGUGCGUCAUAUUUUUGUCCCACCAGGACUCGGACUGGCCAAGGCUACAAACUGGCGAUCCGCAACUGCUCCGAGAAGAAUCCUUCUCACCAUUCCAACUGAGACUUUAUGCCUGCGCGCAGUUCUGCUCGUUGAUAUGGGUGAAUCAGGUCAGACACACCAACGCACUAUGGGGCGAACGACCACUUUUAGUGAAAUUAAUUAAUAACUCGAGAACGAAGCAACAUAUUUAAGUUCUGUUUUUUGAUUUAUGUUCAUGAUAAAAAUAGUAA
This is a long non-coding RNA of Drosophila yakuba, 816 nucleotides long. RefSeq lists it as uncharacterized. Lineage: Eukaryota; Metazoa; Arthropoda; Insecta; Diptera; Drosophilidae. The record is from RefSeq and is a predicted model, not a curated record. The transcript is spliced from 2 exons.